Molecule: long non-coding RNA, 721 nt
Filed under: Helianthus annuus (common sunflower)
Lineage: Eukaryota; Viridiplantae; Streptophyta; Magnoliopsida; Asterales; Asteraceae
Description: hypothetical non coding rna
Source: RNAcentral
UUUUCAAUAUGAGUUAUGUGGUCUAGGAUUACCCAUUACUGUUCAUUUAAAGAAUCUUCAAAAUCAAGAAUUCACGUAUUAAUUAAAGUUGUGGGUGGGUUUGAUUUAGAAAAUCAAGAAACACGAUGUGCCAGAUGAUUUCCCAGUUUGGACUUUAAUACACACAAGGUGUUUGUCAAAAUGCCUAAAAGAGAAUUUUAAUACACACAAGGUGUUUGUCAAAAUGCUGAAUGAGAAUUUUAUUGCAUACAAGGUGUUUGUUAAAAUAUCUGAAAGAGAAUUUUAAUGCAUACAAGGCGUUUGUUAAAAUAUCUGAGAGAGUUCUGAACUUAACAUGGGGUUGUAGUUAUUAGAGCCAUGAUUAUUGAGGUGUUAUGAUUUAUAAUGAGGGUCCAUUGCUUAUUUUGGGUUGAAUUAUGUGUCCAAGUUGGUUGAAUGCCUUUUGAUUUAAUGAUUCCAUGUGCCUUUGGCUGUUCAUUUUGCUGCAAAUGCUGCUUUUGAAGAUUGGUUUGCAGUGAACUUUUCCUCUUUCGAAAAGCUUUUGGCUUCAAUUAUAUGUCAUUGAUUGCAUUGAUGGUUUGCAUUGAUGACCUGACUUACGCCUGCACAACGUUUUUACUCUGAUAUGGCAAAAUUAUAGGUUACAUUGUGGAUUUUGUUGGUAAUUUUGUAAAAUCAUGUCAUUAGGCCACACGGGGCGGUCCCGUGAUGGCAAUGUAUA